AGCGAACGCUGGCGGCAGGCCUAACACAUGCAAGUCGAACGAACCUUUCGGGGUUAGUGGCGGACGGGUGAGUAACACGUGGGAACGUGCCUUUAGGUUCGGAAUAACUCAGGGAAACUUGUGCUAAUACCGAAUGUGCCCUUCGGGGGAAAGAUUAAUCGCCUUUAGAGCGGCCCGCGUCUGAUUAGCUAGUUGGUUGAGGUAAUGGCUCACCAAGGCGACGAUCAGUAGCUGGUCUGAGAGGAUGAUCAGCCACAUUGGGACUGAGACACGGCCCAAACCCCAGCGGAAGGCGGCGGGGGGAAAUUUGGCGAAAGGGGCGAAGGCCUGACGCACCCUCGCCGCGUGAAUAAUGAAGGUCUAAGAAUUGAAAAUUUCUUUACCGGGGGACGAUAAUGACGGUCCCCGAAAAAGAAGCCCCGGCUAACUCCGUC
This 434-nucleotide ribosomal RNA is filed under the name uncultured bacterium. RNAcentral's name for it is "partial 16S ribosomal RNA". It matches the Rfam family "Bacterial small subunit ribosomal RNA", at positions 29 to 507 of the family's 1533-position model. The record is from RNAcentral.